Molecule: non-coding RNA, 531 nt
Organism: Arachis ipaensis
Lineage: Eukaryota; Viridiplantae; Streptophyta; Magnoliopsida; Fabales; Fabaceae
Source: RefSeq, a predicted model, not a curated record
CUAUUCAAUUUCGGCUCAGCUCCAGAAGAACUUCCCAAAAAGAAAUUCUAUCAACACCUUUAUCGAAGACCACCAAUCACCCUGCGGCUUCUUCCUCUCCCAUCUUCCACACCAGGUUCAACUCGUUGAGGUCGACACCGCAGUAGUCGUUGAACUCGAGUAUCUCAAUGUAUGCAUAAGGAGAUAGCAGAUCUUGCGCUGAUUCAUAUAGAAAGUGAAGCAGAGAGAGAAUCCGAGAUAGAAGCACAUUUUGCAGAACGGUAUGGCUUGGGAUGGCGAGGUGGGAGCUGGUUUGCAACAAAGAAGUUUAAAAAAGAGUAGAUGAAACUGCCAGGACAGAUUAAACCUAGAAGAUGGGAAUUGCUUGGGAAGAUAAAACCAAGAGAAUUGAAAUUUCAAUUCCUCAAAAGUCCCUUAAUAAGAUCAAUGUGUAAUUUUACAGAAAAGUAAUUAUCAAAGAAAGUUAACUUAUAUUUUCUGGAUUUACCACCCAAAUUGCAUGUGAAUUAUUAGUACCCUUUCCAUUAGAUC